RNAcentral lists this ribosomal RNA (445 nucleotides) under uncultured bacterium. RNAcentral describes it as "partial 16S ribosomal RNA". It matches the Rfam family "Bacterial small subunit ribosomal RNA", at positions 354 to 796 of the family's 1533-position model. The record is from RNAcentral.
GUGAGGAAUAUUGGACAAUGGGCGCAAGCCUGAUCCAGCCAUGCCGCGUGCAGGAAGACGCAUCUAUGGUGUGUAAACUGCUUUUGUACGGGAAGAAACACUCCCUCGUGAGGGAGCUUGACGGUACCGUAAGAAUAAGGAUCGGCUAACUCCGUGCCAGCAGCCGCGGUAAUAAGGAGGAUCCAAGCGUUAUCCGGAAUCAAUGGGUUUAAAGGGUCCGUAGGCGGAUGAAUAAGACAGUGGUGAAAGCCCAUCGCUCAACGAUGGAACGGCCAUUGAUACUGUUAGACUUGAAUUACAAGGAAGUAACUAGAAUAUGUAGUGUAGCGGUGAAAUGCUUAGAUAUUACAUGGAAUACCAAUUGCGAAGGCAGGUUACUACUUGUGGAUUGACGCUGAUGGACGAAAGCGUGGGGAGCGAACAGGAUUAGAUACCCCUGUAGUCC